CGCGUAGGCGGCCCGCUAAGUCGAACGUGAAAUCCCCGGGCUCAACCCGGGAACUGCGUCCGAUACUGGCGGGCUUGAAUCCGGGAGAGGGAUGUGGAAUUCCAGGUGUAGCGGUGAAAUGCGUAGAUAUCUGGAGGAACACCGGUGGCGAAGGCGGCAUCCUGGACCGGUAUUGACGCUGAGGCGCGAAAGCCAGGGGAGGCAAACG
This 208-nucleotide ribosomal RNA is filed under the name uncultured bacterium. RNAcentral's name for it is "partial 16S ribosomal RNA". It matches the Rfam family "Bacterial small subunit ribosomal RNA", at positions 568 to 775 of the family's 1533-position model. The record is from RNAcentral.